AUGGCGCCAGAGCGGAGGUGGUCGGGGCUGGCGGCGGCGGCGGACGCGGCGUCGUGGUGCUGCGGGCUGGCGCUGGUGACGCUGCUGCUGGUGUCGUCGCUCCGGGCCGGCGAGGGGGAAGAGAGCGGCGGCGGGGCGGUGGUGGUGCGCGGGGCGCGGAUCGCGGCGGCGCCGCGGCGGCCGUGCGACGAGAUAUACGUGGUGGUGGAGGGGGAGACGCUGCACAGCAUCAGCGACCGGUGCGGCGACCCCUACAUCCUGGAGCACAACCCGCACGUCCACGACCCCGACGACGUCUUCCCGGGCCUCGUCAUCAAGAUCACGCCGCGCGCCGCCGCUGACGGCCGCAAGUGA
RNAcentral lists this ribosomal RNA (354 nucleotides) under Triticum aestivum (bread wheat). Its description in RNAcentral is "partial small subunit ribosomal RNA". The record is from RNAcentral. Lineage: Eukaryota; Viridiplantae; Streptophyta; Magnoliopsida; Poales; Poaceae.